Callithrix jacchus (white-tufted-ear marmoset) is the source of this 76-nucleotide non-coding RNA. The record is from Rfam. NCBI's taxonomy places the organism in Eukaryota, Metazoa, Chordata, Mammalia, Primates, Cebidae.
CUCUCUCCCCUGCAGCCACAGCCUGGAAACAGGAUCUUCCCACCCUGUUUCCAGGUUGUGGCUGCAGGGGAGAGAG